RNAcentral lists this ribosomal RNA (440 nucleotides) under uncultured bacterium. RNAcentral describes it as "partial 16S ribosomal RNA". It matches the Rfam family "Bacterial small subunit ribosomal RNA", at positions 338 to 795 of the family's 1533-position model. The record is from RNAcentral.
CCUACGGGAGGCUGCAGUGGGGAAUAUUGGACAAUGGGCGAAAGCCUGAUCCAGCAAUGCCGCGUGAGUGAUGAAGGCCUUAGGGUUGUAAAGCUCUUUUACCAGGGAUGAUAAUGACAGUACCUGGAGAAUAAGCUCCGGCUAACUCCGUGCCAGCAGCCGCGGUAAUACGGAGGGAGCUAGCGUUGUUCGGAAUUACUGGGCGUAAAGCGUACGUAGGCGGCUAUUCAAGUCAGGGGUGAAAGCCUGGAGCUCAACUCCAGAACUGCCCUUGAAACUAGAUAGCUAGAAUCUUGGAGAGGCGAGUGGAAUUCCGAGUGUAGAGGUGAAAUUCGUAGAUAUUCGGAAGAACACCAGUGGCGAAGGCGACUCGCUGGACAAGUAUUGACGCUGAGGUACGAAAGCGUGGGGAGCAAACAGGAUUAGAUACCCGUGUAGUC